UGGUCCAAUGGGAGGAAGCUCACCCCGGA
RNAcentral lists this non-coding RNA (29 nucleotides) under Homo sapiens (human). Lineage: Eukaryota; Metazoa; Chordata; Mammalia; Primates; Hominidae. The record is from RNAcentral.